CUGUAGCUCAGUAGGUAGAGCACUUGACUUUUAAUCAAGGUGUCCGGAGUUCGAAUCUCCGC
This 62-nucleotide transfer RNA is filed under the name human gut metagenome. It matches the Rfam family "tRNA", at positions 7 to 64 of the family's 71-position model. Rfam says of the family: Transfer RNA (tRNA) molecules are approximately 80 nucleotides in length. Their secondary structure includes four short double-helical elements and three loops (D, anti-codon, and T loops). The record is from RNAcentral.